Molecule: ribosomal RNA, 536 nt
Filed under: uncultured bacterium
Lineage: Bacteria
Description: bacterial SSU rRNA
Rfam family: Bacterial small subunit ribosomal RNA
Source: RNAcentral
GGGGGCAACCCUGCGCGGCGAGCGGCGAACGGGUGAGUAAUACAUCGGAACGUGUCCAGUAGUGGGGGAUAACCAGUCGAAAGAUUGGCUAAUACCGCAUACGAUCUACGGAUGAAAGCGGGGGACCGCAAGGCCUCGCGCUAUUGGAGCGGCCGAUGUCGGAUUAGCUAGUUGGCGGGGUAAUGGCCCACCAAGGCAACGAUCCGUAGCUGGUCUGAGAGGACGAUCAGCCACACUGGAACUGAGACACGGUCCAGACUCCUACGGGAGGCAGCAGUGGGGAAUUUUGGACAAUGGGCGCAAGCCUGAUCCAGCCAUGCCGCGUGAGUGAAGAAGGCCUUCGGGUUGUAAAGCUCUUUCGGCGGGGACGAAACGGUCCGCGUUAACACCGCGGAUCAAUGACGGUACUCGCAGAAGAAGCACCGGCUAACUACGUGCCAGCAGCCGCGGUAAUACGUAGGGUGCAGGCGUUAAUCGGAAUUACUGGGCGUAAAGCGUGCGCAGGCGGCUCCUUAAGUCAGAUGUGAAAUCCCCGG